CUGCUUUCUUCCUGGUUCUGCCUGGGAACAAGAAGCAGGAAGCACCAUAAAUCUUGUGAAGAAGCCUUCUGGCAAGCUUCCUAGCCCGGCUCUGCUGAGUGCUGAGUUUUGGAUCAUUUGGAUAAACUUCGUGAUGAGGAAUGGCCAGUGCCUGGAUGUCCUGAUGUUGGGAAGAGCAGGACGUGGAGCUCGCACUAGUUUGGGUGGAACCAAAGUAUAACGAGGAAGCUUGAGCUGGCAAAGUUUCUUGCCCAAAUGCAUCAACAUGAAUUUCUGGGCAUCUGUGCUCAAUGUGAAGCACCUGCUCAUGUAAGAAAGCUGCAAACCCCAAUUUUCACUUUGACUGGGCAGCGUGGCUCUCCUUCAAUGACUGCAGACGGGACACCAGCUGUGAGCAAGGACAGGCAGGAAGGAAGCAAACUCUGGUGUCGGAUGGGGACACAGCCAGAGCCUCGGCCUUCUGCUGCCAUGCUGUGGAUUGAGCGUUUCAUUCACACAAAUGCACAUUUCCUGGCAGUGCUGGGGCUGGCCUGGAAUCCAGACCUGGUCUGCUCAAGGUAGAGCCAUUACCCUAAAGUGCUUUUAUUGAUCUGUUGACUUUCUGUCUCCCUCCUUCUCUUUCUCUCUUCACCCUGCCAGACUCCUAAAGACUCAUAUCUUGUCUCAUACAACCAAGAUAUUUUAAGGAGUAAACAAUGAUUUUGAAGUCAGAUUAGACAAACUGUACUUGACUAGUGUGAAACCAAAUAUCCUUUGAAUGAUGUCUGAAGUAGGACCUGGAUCCUUUUACAAGCAAUCCUUCUUCCCCUCCCCCCCCCCCCCCCUUAGCUCUUUCCCCUCUCUGCAUGUUCUGGUGAUCUUGAAAAAUUUGGAAAAAAAUCAGAGAUUAAUUUCAGGGUCAAGUACACAUAUUCUUUGUGGCAUCCCAUUCCCUGCUGUAGCAGUGCCAUAUUGUUGUACUUUACUUUUUGUUGGUUAAAGAAAGCUACAGUAAUAAAUCUAUAUACAUGCUUUGAAAUCUAGUGGUA
Molecule: long non-coding RNA, 1028 nt
Filed under: Chrysolophus pictus (golden pheasant)
Lineage: Eukaryota; Metazoa; Chordata; Aves; Galliformes; Phasianidae
Description: lncRNA (ENSCPIG00010011816.1)
Source: RNAcentral